RNAcentral lists this ribosomal RNA (1028 nucleotides) under Triticum aestivum (bread wheat). RNAcentral describes it as "partial small subunit ribosomal RNA". The record is from RNAcentral. Lineage: Eukaryota; Viridiplantae; Streptophyta; Magnoliopsida; Poales; Poaceae.
UCCUCUCUGGGUCGAUCCCCUCCAACCCACGACUCCACAACUCCUCGUGCUCCUCUCUGGAUCGAUCCGCAACCGCUUCCAACCGAGCUGCCGCAGACCUCCCCCAAUCCCGGCCUCCUCCACGCCGAUUCGAGCAACACUCCCCACUUCCAGACCAAACCCUAGCCUGAGACCCCUUCCUCCUCGAUGGCCAACCCCUCCAUGGCGGCCGGCGCCGGGGUGCCGUUGGUGGAGGGGGUCCAUGCCGUUGGGGCCCAGAUCCGCAACCGCUUCCGCGUGGCGCCCGUCGACCGCGUGGCUGCGGCCCUGGCGACGCGAUGGUAGCAUCUGCCCUGGCGGCGUUGGCCAACGAGAAACCGCGAGAUCCUCGACGCUGUGGGCACCACCGCAGCGGCGCUAAGCACCACCGAUGCUGAUGGGGUCCAACGAGGCGGACAAGCCGCUGCGGCGGAUCGGCGCGUCAUUCGAGCAGCUCGCGGCCGUCGCCAAGCAGCAGCAGCAGCCCGCGAUGGCUGCGGGGGACUUCUCACGCGCCUGCUCCAACGUCUCCGUCCUCUUCUGCUGCCUCGACAUCGCCUUCAAGUUUGCGGAGAUGGACUACGUAGCCAAGGUCGUGGCGACCACCAACAAGACACCCAACUCCCGCACCCCGAACUACCCUACCCGAGCCUGCCGUCUCAGCUGAUGUGUCAAGUCCACAACAUCACCAUGCAUGCUGACAAGGACAAUGAGGAGGUCUACGCACAGAUGACUCUGCAACCAAUAAACUCUGUGUUGUGUGUUCUGGAAGAUGGAAGAGGAAGAAAACCUAUUUUUGUUGAACUAAAUUUUUUGUAUUCUGUUUUGUUGUACGUAUCAUUUGAUAGUUCUGUAUAGGAACAAGUGAUACUAUUUUGUAGGGCUUUAUGGCCUGUGAUGUAAAACAUAUUUAGUGCUGAAAUAUGAAAUUAUUUGCAAAAUUUGUCGAAAAGGAGGAUCAUAUGUAUGAAUAUGUGAAUGGGCUGAAAAGAGUAUUGGACCAACUCCAG